UGGGCCCGCGUUUCAUUAGCUAGUUGGUGGGGUAAUGGCCUACCAAGGCGACGAUGGUUAGCUGGUCUGAGAGGAUGAUCAGCCACACUGGAACUGGAACACGGUCCAGACUCCUACGGGAGGCAGCAGUGAGGAAUUUUGCGCAAUGGGGGAAACCCUGACGCAGCAACGCCGCGUGAGCGAAGAAGGCCUUCGGGUCGUAAAGCUCUGUCAAGUGGGAAAAAAAUCUUUUGAUCAAUAGUCAAAAGACUUGAUGGUACCACUGGAGGAAGCACCGGCUAACUCCGUGCCAGCAGCCGCGGUAAUACGGAGGGUGCAAGCGUUGUUCGGAAUCACUGGGCGUAAAGGGUACGUAGGCUGUUUUGCAAGUCAGAAGUGAAAG
RNAcentral lists this ribosomal RNA (382 nucleotides) under uncultured sulfate-reducing bacterium. RNAcentral's name for it is "bacterial SSU rRNA". It matches the Rfam family "Bacterial small subunit ribosomal RNA", at positions 226 to 600 of the family's 1533-position model. The record is from RNAcentral.